Molecule: long non-coding RNA, 287 nt
Organism: Balaenoptera acutorostrata (minke whale)
Lineage: Eukaryota; Metazoa; Chordata; Mammalia; Artiodactyla; Balaenopteridae
Exons: 3
Source: RefSeq, a predicted model, not a curated record
CGCGGGCCGAGGCGCACCGGCGGGUCGCGUGCGCGGGCCGGGGUAAGAUUCCCGGUUCUCGGCAGGGGAAAUACCCCCUUUCGAAGCCGUUCCUUUGCGCCCUAAAACAAGUAGCCCCAACGUGAGAGAAACAAAAGAUCUCAGUUCCAUUGCCACCACCUUAAGAGAAGCCUUCCUUGAUCACCUCACCAAAGCAGCACUCCCCAAUCCAGUAAAAUGUAUACACAAUGGAAUGCACAUAUCUGAAGCCUGCUUUUGCUGAGUUAUAAAAAAUUCAUACACCUGUG